This 300-nucleotide long non-coding RNA is filed under the name Nicotiana benthamiana. Its description in RNAcentral is "long non-coding RNA (NBEN_LNC018308)". The record is from RNAcentral. Lineage: Eukaryota; Viridiplantae; Streptophyta; Magnoliopsida; Solanales; Solanaceae.
UUGUUCUAUAGGUGGGCUCCUGAUUAUCAGAACUUGAAAUUUGAAAGGUAUUCCCUUAUUCUACAGGUGGGUGCUUGAUUGCCAGAAAUUGAAAUUUGAAAUGUAUUACCUUGUUCUACAGGUGGCGCCUGAUUAUAAGAACUUGAAAUUUAAAAGGUAAAUCCCAUUAUCCAGGAGGGUCCUGCAACUCUUAAUUAAUGACAACUUUAAGGUUAGGCUGUAUACUUGUUCUACAGGCGGGCGCCUGAUUAUCAGAACUUGAAAUUUAAAAGGUAAAUCCCAUUAUCCAGGAGGGUCCUG